Long non-coding RNA from Cervus elaphus (red deer), 441 nucleotides. RefSeq lists it as uncharacterized. The record is from RefSeq and is a predicted model, not a curated record. The transcript has 2 exons. NCBI's taxonomy places the organism in Eukaryota, Metazoa, Chordata, Mammalia, Artiodactyla, Cervidae.
UAACAAGAAGCUCCUUUAUGAGAAGAUGAAGGGAGGACAGAGACGCAAGCGGAGGAGUGUCAAUCCAUAUCUACAAGGACAGAGACUGGACAAUGUUGUUGCAAAGAAGUCAGUCCCCCAUUUUUCAGAUGAAGAUAAGAAAGCAGAGUAAAGUGACGAUGCAGUGUGGAAAUUCAUGUGACCUGCUAGACCGCCUUGUACUGCUUCUGCCCGUGUGUUGUUAGAGCCCCUGUGAAGGGAAGCAUGUUUCUAAUUUAGAUAAGUAUGGACGAAAAGCAAACGUAUUUUGGUAUUGUGUUGUCCUUCAUGCCGAUAGCUCUGCUUUCUGCUAAAUUAGGGUAAGAGCCUUUUUUCCCCUUUAAAUGUGGAUCUGCAGUGAGCAUUAAAAUUGAAGUGUAUGUGUCAACAACAAUAAAAAGCAAAUGAAUGAAAAAAAAAAAA